ACUCAAAGGAAUAGACGGGGACCCGCACAAGCGGUGGAGUAUGUGGUUUAAUUCGACGCAACACGAAAAACCUUACCUGGGCUCGAACGACUGGAAGUAGGAUUGAUGAAAGUCGAGACGACCUGUAAAGUCAGGAACCAGCCGAGGUGCUGCAUGGUUGUCGUCAGCUCGUGUCGUGAGAUGUUGGGUUAAGUCCCGCAACGAGCGCAACCCUCAUCCUCUGUUGCCACCCCGCAAGGGAGCACUCUGAGGAAACUGCCCACGAUGAGUGGGAGGAAGGUGAGGACGACGUCAAAUCCCCAUGGCCCUUAUGUCCAGGGCAACACACGUACUACAAUGGCCAGCACAGAGGGACGCAAUACAGCAAUGUGGAGCAAAUCCUAAAAACUGGCCCCAGUUCAGAUUGUGGGCUGCAACUCGUCCACAUGAAGGUGGAAUCGCUAGUAAUCGCGAAUCAGAAGGUCGCGGUGAAUACGUUCCCGGGUCUUGUACACACCGCCCGU
RNAcentral lists this ribosomal RNA (503 nucleotides) under uncultured bacterium. RNAcentral's name for it is "partial 16S ribosomal RNA". It matches the Rfam family "Bacterial small subunit ribosomal RNA", at positions 899 to 1397 of the family's 1533-position model. The record is from RNAcentral.